UACGGGGGGGGCAAGCGUUGUUCGGAAUUACUGGGCGUAAAGGGCGCGUAGGCGGCCAACUAAGUCGGACGUGAAAUCCCCGGGCUCAACCCGGGAACUGCGUCCGAUACUGGAUGGCUUGAAUCCGGGAGAGGGAUGUGGAAUUCCAGGUGUAGCGGUGAAAUGCGUAGAUAUCUGGAGGAACACCGGUGGCGAAGGCGGCAUCCUGGACCAACACUGACGCUGAGGAGCGAAAGCCAGGGGAGCAAACGGG
RNAcentral lists this ribosomal RNA (253 nucleotides) under uncultured bacterium. RNAcentral describes it as "partial 16S ribosomal RNA". It matches the Rfam family "Bacterial small subunit ribosomal RNA", at positions 524 to 776 of the family's 1533-position model. The record is from RNAcentral.